UUAUACAAUUAAACAUUGUAAGCCUAUUUAUCUGAUCCGACCCAACCCGGAUCUAAUAACAAAACCAAAUAUAAUUAGUAGGUUUCCAAAAUAGAUAACUUUCCUAAUCUUUAUCUCUUUCACGCCGCCUUUCACCAUUUUCCUUCGUGGCUUCAAAAUUAGUUUCUUUCGAUUUUUACACUGGAGAAUCAAUCUUGUACCGCCUUCUUGUCAAAGCUUCACCUUCAGAUUCAGCUUCCAACAGUGAGUAUUACUUUCCUUACUUUGUUAUUUUAUCUUCGUAUGACUUGACUAUUGAUGCUUCAUCUUUUGUUUCUGAUUUCUCCGAUGUCUGAGACUCUGAAAGACAUGUUGAUCAUCUUUGUUGGCUCUAUUCUGCUGAGUUAAGAUUCUACUUCCAAGAAUGACUCUUUUCAUUAACCUUUUGUUCCAUUUAAGACUUUUCGAUGCUUGUCUUAGUGCUUUCUGCUUGUGAUUCUCAGAUCUAGUUAAGAUGAAGAAAAGGGAUGCUUGGACCAGAAAAAAAUCUGAGGAACUGCUUUACAAUCAUGUUUAUAAAGCUGAAUCGGCCCCUAGAUCCUUCCCUAAAGCUGAUAAUCUAUUUUGAUGGCUGCAGUAGUUUAGGAUAGUUAAAACAUACUUGGUUUUUGUUGUGAUCUUGACUUGUGAAUAUGUAGUUUGUGCACUACAUAGCCUAACUUCCUUGUUUCCCUUUAUCCCUUUAGUGGUAUGAUUCUCAAAUAGGGGCACUGCCAUUUAUCACUAUUAAGAAUAGUUUUUUCUUUCUUGUGAAGUUGCUGAAAACUGGUGAUAGUAAUUGCUCCUGAAUCUAUUACUAGAUUAGCAAGAUAAUUAGAUAACUGUUUUUCUUCCCUGUAAAUAUGCUGAUAUACAACUUGCUUAUCUUACAAAUACUUCUUUAUCUCCUUUACUAUGCUUGAAAUGCU
This 947-nucleotide long non-coding RNA is filed under the name Capsicum annuum. RNAcentral's name for it is "long non-coding RNA (CANN_LNC011307)". The record is from RNAcentral. Lineage: Eukaryota; Viridiplantae; Streptophyta; Magnoliopsida; Solanales; Solanaceae.